UUUAAUUUAAAUAAACAGAGUUUAAAGAAUUUGAAAUGUACACACAAGAAGAAAAGUAACAGCACUAGAUUGUAAAGACUGUGUUGGACCUCUUUCUUAAUGUCCAGCAUCCUUUGUCUUAAGAUUUGGUGCAAUAUUU
This 139-nucleotide small nucleolar RNA is filed under the name Carlito syrichta (Philippine tarsier). RNAcentral describes it as "Small nucleolar RNA SNORA81 (ENSTSYG00000033674.1)". It matches the Rfam family "Small nucleolar RNA SNORA81". The record is from Rfam by way of RNAcentral. Lineage: Eukaryota; Metazoa; Chordata; Mammalia; Primates; Tarsiidae.